GAUGAACGCUGGCGGCGUGCCUAAUACAUGCAAGUCGAGCGAACGGACGAGAAGCUUGCUGCUCUGAGGUUAGCGGCGGACGGGGGAGUAACACGUGAAUAACCUACCUAUAAGACUGGGAUAACUUCGGGAAACCGGAGCUAAUACCGGAUAAUAUUUUGAACCGCAGGGUUCAAAAGUGAAAGACGGUCUUGCUGUCAGUUAUAGAUGGAUCCGCGCUGGAUUAGCUAGUUGGUAAGGUAACGGCUUACCAAGGCAACGAUGCAUAGCCGACCUGAGAGGGUGAUCGGCCACACUGGAACUGAGACACGGUCCAGACUCCUACGGGAGGCAGCAGUAGGGAAUCUUCCGCAAUGGGCGAAAGCCUGACGGAGCAACGCCGCGUGAGUGAUGAAGGUCUUCGGAUCGUAAAACUCUGUUAUUAGGGAAGAACAUAUGUGUAAGUAACUGUGCACAUCUUGACGGUACCUAAUCAAAAAGCCACGGCUAACUACGUG
Molecule: ribosomal RNA, 497 nt
Filed under: uncultured bacterium
Lineage: Bacteria
Description: partial 16S ribosomal RNA
Rfam family: Bacterial small subunit ribosomal RNA
Source: RNAcentral